ACAGAGGUGGGAAAUAGGAGAAAAAGAGUAAAGGCAGCAGAGGGCUUAGUAAAGAAAGAAAACAGAAGGGAAGGAAAUAAAAUAAUUCAAGGGGCUUUCCCAGAACUGAAGGACACACAUUUACAAAUUGAGAGAGUGAAAGAAUGUUUGCUCAUGAAUGUUCAAGGUGGUAGAUGAAAGCAGACUCAAACCAAGACUCAAACUUCCUCAUCAAUACCUGCAGAAAACUUAGAGGCAACAUGUCCCACAAGCUUCCAAAGAGAGAUUACUCAUUAAAGGAUUAGGAAUCAAAUCAUUUUGGACGUGAGCUCUGGCAGGCAGAAGACAGAUGAGCAGUGCCUCCCACUUUAUGAAACAACACAGUUCCCAAAUAUGGACUCUAUAACCAGCUAUCAAUUAACGUGAGCUAUUAUAAAACCAUUUUCAGAUGGACAAGGUCUGGAAGACGUCCUCCACCAAAUAAGCAAAUAUAUAAGCCAAGAAAGAAGCUACAGGACCAAAGAAAGAGAGGCCCCUGCACAAGACAGAGACCAGAGAACAACACUUCCAUGGCCGUAAUCAGAGUAACAGACAGUGUCUGAAGAGGAAAAACAGAAAAAGAAAUCCAAGAAGUAGCAUUGUGGGCUUGCUGUCGGAAAGAGUGGAAGGUCGCUGCCUCCAGGUGAGAAUCAGGAGGGGAAAGGGCCACCCUGAGCACCCAACUAGUGUUUCUAUAUAAAACCCAGCCUGAGGAUCAAAAGCUGGACAACCAAGGCCUCACCGCGUCACCAGACCCGAUCCCCCAACCACAUGAAGCAUCUGGACACGUGUUAAGUGUCACCCGUUUUGUGGCAGAAACUUAACUAGUUAUACUGACAGGACAGGAGAACAUUUUAACAAGAAAGGAACCUAGGAGGGACUGGGUCUGGAGUCUCUUCCUGUGCGUCACAGCUCUGAACACAAAUGCAGAGAUCUGUAGGUCCUGAGAUGAAAGGAGGGGCAGAAUGGAUCGUGGUGGGAAACAAAGUACAAAAGACGAUGUAUACAAACACGCCAUGGACUGAGCCGCAGGGCAUGGGGAUUCCCACUGGGAUCUCUGCCACACACACGCAGGAACUAAAUUAGAAUAAAUGAAGACAGUGCAUUACUGCCCGGCCCUUCUCCACGGGGCACG
Camelus dromedarius (Arabian camel) is the source of this 1153-nucleotide long non-coding RNA. RefSeq lists it as uncharacterized. The record is from RefSeq and is a predicted model, not a curated record. Lineage: Eukaryota; Metazoa; Chordata; Mammalia; Artiodactyla; Camelidae. The transcript is spliced from 3 exons.